AGUUUCUUGUAGGUUAAUAAGAAAUGUUUUCUGCUCGGUGAUUUAUAAACAGCCGCGGUAAUUUGACCGUGCAAAGGUAGCAUAAUCAUUUGCUUUAUAAUUGAGGGCUUGUAUGAAUGGGAGUACGAAAAUUUUGCUGUCUUUUUUUAAUAUAAAUAAUUUGUUUUUAUUGUGAAGAAACAAUAAUUUGAAAAUGGGACAAGAAGACCCUUUUGAGCUUUAUUUUUUAGGUUUUUUUUAUUAUUUAAGUAAUUUGGUUGGGGCAACCAAAGAAGAUAGAUUUUCUUUUUUAAUUAUGAUCUUUUAGUAUUGAUUUUUAGAACAAGUUACCAAAGGGAUAACAGCAUAAUUUUUUUUGUGAGUUCUUAUUAAAAUUGAAGAUUGUGACCUCGAUGUUGACUUAUAUUAAUUGUUUGGUGUAGGAGCUUAACUAAUUGGUCUGUUCGACCUUUAAAAAUUU
RNAcentral lists this ribosomal RNA (460 nucleotides) under Leptonemertes cf. chalicophora SA-2011. Its description in RNAcentral is "partial 16S ribosomal RNA". It matches the Rfam family "Bacterial large subunit ribosomal RNA", at positions 1817 to 2597 of the family's 2925-position model. The record is from RNAcentral. Lineage: Eukaryota; Metazoa; Nemertea; Enopla; Monostilifera; Plectonemertidae.